ACCCACUACAUUAAAAUUCCCAACGGCUCCUGCAGUUUAUUAUUAUGGCUAGGGCUACUAUACUCUUAUGAGUAUAGAACUCUUUAUACUCAUAAGUUCUCAAUCGUUAGAUGAAGAGAUGUGCGUUUAGAAUGAUAGUAAUUUCCGAUUAGAAUGAUAGUAAUCCUCUAUAGUUGAGUGGAUGGUUGGUUAAAAAGUAUGAUCUAAUAGAUGAAAAUGAUCAACGAGGUAGAUCUAACGAUCAAAAACUCAUGAGUAUAAAGAGAUUUAUACUCGGUCGGACUCUUAUUAUUAUUAUUAUUAUUGUUGUUGUUGUUGUUGUUGU
Molecule: long non-coding RNA, 325 nt
Filed under: Ananas comosus (pineapple)
Lineage: Eukaryota; Viridiplantae; Streptophyta; Magnoliopsida; Poales; Bromeliaceae
Description: long non-coding RNA (ACOM_LNC012605)
Source: RNAcentral